This 468-nucleotide ribosomal RNA is filed under the name uncultured bacterium. RNAcentral describes it as "partial 16S ribosomal RNA". It matches the Rfam family "Bacterial small subunit ribosomal RNA", at positions 28 to 507 of the family's 1533-position model. The record is from RNAcentral.
GACGAACGCUGGCGGCGUGCUUAACACAUGCCAGUCGAACGGAAAGGCCCUGCUUUUGUGGGGUGCUCGAGUGGAGAAGGGGUGACUAACACGUGAGUAACCUGUCCUUGACUGUGGGAUAACUUAAGGAAACUGGGGCUAAUACCGGAUAGGAGCUCCUGCUGCAUGGUGGGGGUUGGAAAGUUUCGGCGGUUGGGGAUGGACUCGCGGCUUAUUAGGUUGUUGGUGGGGUAGUGGCUUACCAAGGCAAGGACGCGUAGCCGGCCUGGGAGGGUGACCGGCCACGUUGGGACUGGGCUACGGCCCAGACUCGUACGCGACGCAGCGGUGGAGAGGAGUACCCAAGGGGCGGGAGCCUGAUGUGGCAACGCCGCGUGCGGUAUGACGGCCUGCGGGUUGGAAUCCGCUUUCGCCUGUGACGAGGCGUGAGUGACGGUAAUGGGUAAAGAAGCACCGGCUAACUACGUG